ACAUGUAANUCGAGCGGUAACACAAGGGAGCUUGCUCCUGAGGUGACGAGCGGCGGACGGGUGAGUAAUGCCUAGGUAUCUGCCCAGUCGAGGGGGAUAACAGUUGGAAACGACUGCUAAUACCGCAUACGCCCUACGGGGGAAAGGAGGGGACCUUCGGGCCUUCCGCGAUUGGAUGAACCUAGGUGGGAUUAGCUAGUUGGUGAGGUAAUGGCUCACCAAGGCGACGAUCCCUAGCUGGUCUGAGAGGAUGAUCAGCCACACUGGAACUGAGACACGGUCCAGACUCCUACGGGAGGCAGCAGUGGGGAAUAUUGCACAAUGGGCGAAAGCCUGAUGCAGCCAUGCCGCGUGUGUGAAGAAGGCCUUCGGGUUGUAAAGCACUUUCAGCGAGGAGGAAAGGUUAGUGAUUAAUACUCACUAGCUGUGACGUUACUCGCAGAAGAAGCACCGGCUAACUUCGUGCCAGCAGCCGCGGUAAUACGAGGGGUGCAAGCGUUAAUCGGAAUUACUGGGCGUAAAGCGUACGCAGGCGGUUUGUUAAGCGAGAUGUGAAA
RNAcentral lists this ribosomal RNA (557 nucleotides) under Shewanella fidelis. RNAcentral describes it as "bacterial SSU rRNA". It matches the Rfam family "Bacterial small subunit ribosomal RNA", at positions 53 to 599 of the family's 1533-position model. Lineage: Bacteria; Pseudomonadati; Pseudomonadota; Gammaproteobacteria; Alteromonadales; Shewanellaceae. The record is from RNAcentral.